RNAcentral lists this ribosomal RNA (467 nucleotides) under uncultured bacterium. Its description in RNAcentral is "partial 16S ribosomal RNA". It matches the Rfam family "Bacterial small subunit ribosomal RNA", at positions 28 to 507 of the family's 1533-position model. The record is from RNAcentral.
GAUGAACGCUGGCGGCGUGCUUAACACAUGCAAGUCGAACGGAAAGGCUCCUGCUUGCAGGGGUACUCGAGUGGCGAACGGGUGAGUAACACGUGGGUGAUCUGCCCUGCACUUCGGGAUAAGCCUGGGAAACUGGGUCUAAUACCGGAUAGGACCACAUUUUGGAUGGUGUGGUGGAAAGUUUUUCGGUGUGGGAUGAGCUCGCGGCCUAUCAGCUUGUUGGUGGGGUAAUGGCCCACCAAGGCGUCGACGGGUAGCCGGCCUGAGAGGGUGUACGGCCACAUUGGGACUGAGAUACGGCCCAGACUCCUACGGGGGGCAGCAGUGGGGAAUAUUGCACAAUGGGCGCGAGCCUGAUGCAGCGACGCCGCGUGGGGGAUGACGGCCUUCGGGUUGUAAACUCCUUUCGCUAGGGACGAAGCGUUUUUGUGACGGUACCUGGAGAAGAAGCACCGGCUAACUACGUG